RNAcentral lists this small nuclear RNA (55 nucleotides) under Mus spretus (western wild mouse). The record is from RNAcentral. Lineage: Eukaryota; Metazoa; Chordata; Mammalia; Rodentia; Muridae.
AUGCUCGCUUCGGCAGCACAUAUACUAAAAUUGGAACAAUACAGAGAAGACUAGC